RNAcentral lists this ribosomal RNA (253 nucleotides) under uncultured bacterium. RNAcentral's name for it is "partial 16S ribosomal RNA". It matches the Rfam family "Bacterial small subunit ribosomal RNA", at positions 524 to 776 of the family's 1533-position model. The record is from RNAcentral.
UACGUAGGCAGCAAGCGUUGUUCGGAGUUACUGGGCGUAAAGGGCGUGUAGGCGGUUUUCUAAGUCUGGUGUGAAAUCUCCCGGCUCAACUGGGAGGGUGCGCCGGAAACUGGAAGGCUAGAGUGCGGGAUGGGAGAGUGGAAUUCCUGGUGUAGCGGUGAAAUGCGUAGAUAUCAGGAAGAACACCAGCGGCGAAGGCGGCACUCUGGGCCGGAACUGACGCUGAGGAGCGAAAGCGUGGGUAGCAAACAGG